UACGGAGGGUGCGAGCGUUGUUCGGAAUCAUUGGGCGUAAAGGGUGCGUAGGCGGCCCUGUAAGUCAGUGCUGAAAUAUCCCAGCUUAACUGGGAGGGUGGCAUUGAUACUGCGGGGCUAGAGUACAGAUGAGGUAGGCGGAAUUGACGGUGUAGCGGUGAAAUGCUUAGAUAUCGUCAAGAACACCUAUAGCGAAGGCAGCUUACUAGGCUGUAACUGACGCUGAGGCACGAAAGUGUGGGGAUCAAACAGG
Molecule: ribosomal RNA, 253 nt
Filed under: uncultured bacterium
Lineage: Bacteria
Description: partial 16S ribosomal RNA
Rfam family: Bacterial small subunit ribosomal RNA
Source: RNAcentral